AGCAGGCAGGGACCCAACUGUUGGCCCCGGCCAAGUGAAAAUCCCUGACCUAUAGGCAGGAAUCACUGGCAUGCAGGGUGCUGUGGUGCUGGCAGAGGACACACUGCAAAAUACUCACUUAACACAGACAGGAGGGAAUGCAGGAUAUGAUUUAAGCUCAGUGCCACUGUUGUCUUGACCAACCACUACACCUAUUGGUGAGCAAAUCGAGCGCACCGACUCUACAACCUGCAAUAAUCUGUGUACGGGGCCCCGUACCCUGCUUGAUGUUCCUAAGAAGCUGCAGCCCUGCACACAUAUCAGGACACUUUUCAAGAACAGCUGAGAGGUGUAGGCUACUACUAAGCGAGAGGUCAACUAUGGAUACUCGGCUGUGAGAAUUUUUGAUGGAGCACAAACUUGAAGAAGAAUAUUGAUGAAACUGUCAUUCCGUUAAUGACAGACAGUGACCUGGCAAAGUACAUCCCCAAAGUUGGAGAUAGAGUCUCCACUGUGGCCUUCUGCCGACAAGCAGCACUGUCACAAAACUCACAAUCCAGGAAAGAAUCCAUACUCUCAAGGCUACGACAAAGACUGUCUGGAGCUGAGGGGAUGCCACCAAAAGAGAGAACAUCUAAGUGGGCAGGAAAUACAAAUGCCAAACGGAAGCUCUGAACAGCGACGUGUGUGUGUAUAUCGAGAUGGAGAGCAUGCUAGCUGAUGGCUAACACUUAAAUUAGCGCCCUUGGAACGGCGGAAUGAGUUUUCUGCAGAGUGCUUAUGGUACACGUGCUGGUCGAGAGUGAGAAUAAAUCAACAUCCGUUUGAAACUCUGCGUCUUGCUGAAUGAAUCCAAGGGGCCGCUACAGCGACUGAGAAAGAGUCUCACCACAUCCUGACAUGAGGAAAGAGACUUUAUUGAAAACUACAUUGAGAAAAACUAUCCAGACAGCAGACGGCUGCAUUCAAGGUGAGCUCUGAACAUUUGAUCUGGAACAGGAAUUCAAUAACGGCAGCAUGAGCUUCAUUUCAGUCUGUAGCUGCUGAAUUCAUGGAUGAGUCAUCUGGCACGAGAGAGGAAGAUCAUCAAACAUCCACGUCAGCUGAUGGAGGUCCAAGGGUCUCACCAAACAACCAAUCUGCAGAGUGAAGACCUCUAACCUGAUUGGAUGGCCUCCUUUUCAGCCACGUGUGAACAAAUGCCUCUAAGUUGAUUUGUUUUCUAAAAUAAAUCUAGUUUGAGUCCUAA
Amphiprion ocellaris (clown anemonefish) is the source of this 1228-nucleotide long non-coding RNA. RefSeq lists it as uncharacterized. NCBI's taxonomy places the organism in Eukaryota, Metazoa, Chordata, Actinopteri, Pomacentridae. The transcript is spliced from 7 exons. The record is from RefSeq and is a predicted model, not a curated record.